Molecule: non-coding RNA, 83 nt
Organism: Mycena vulgaris
Lineage: Eukaryota; Fungi; Basidiomycota; Agaricomycetes; Agaricales; Mycenaceae
Source: the annotation of a GenBank genome assembly
GGCUUCGUAGAUCAGUGUUGACCACUCUCUUCAUCUGUGUUUUCGAGUCGGGAGACAUGCGGGUUCGACUCCCGCCGAAGCCC